AACAGGAUUAGAUACCCUGGUAGUCCACGCUGUAAACGAUGUCGAUUUGGAGGUUGUGCCCUUGAGGCGUGGCUUCCGGAGCUAACGCGUUAAAUCGACCGCCUGGGGAGUACGGCCGCAAGGUUAAAACUCAAAUGAAUUGACGGGGGCCCGCACAAGCGGUGGAGCAUGUGGUUUAAUUCGAUGCAACGCGAAGAACCUUACCUACUCUUGACAUCCAGAGAACUUUCCAGAGAUGGAUCGGUGCCUUCGGGAACUCUGAGACAGGUGCUGCAUGGCUGUCGUCAGCUCGUGUUGUGAAAUGUUGGGUUAAGUCCCGCAACGAGCGCAACCCUUAUCCUUUGUUGCCAGCGGUUCGGCCGGGAACUCAAAGGAGACUGCCAGUGAUAAACUGGAGGAAGGUGGGGAUGACGUCAAGUCAUCAUGGCCCUUACGAGUAGGGCUACACACGUGCUACAAUGGCGUAUACAAAGAGAAGCGACCUCGCGAGAGCAAGCGAACCUCAUAAAGUACGUCGUAGUCCGGAUUGGAGUCUGCAACUCGACUCCAUGAAGUCGGAAUCGCUAGUAAUCGUAGAUCAGAAUGCUACGGUGAAUACGUUCCCGGGCCUUGUACACACCGCCCGUCACACCAUGGGAGUGGGUUGCAAAAGAAGUAGGUAGCUUAACCUUCGGGAGGGCGCUUACCACUUUGUGAUUCAUGACUGGGGUGAAGUCGUAACAAGGUAACCGUAGGGGAACCUGCGGCUGGAUCACCUCCUU
This 761-nucleotide ribosomal RNA is filed under the name uncultured bacterium. RNAcentral's name for it is "bacterial SSU rRNA". It matches the Rfam family "Bacterial small subunit ribosomal RNA", at positions 771 to 1532 of the family's 1533-position model. The record is from RNAcentral.